AGAUAAGAGAAUAAAAGCAGGCUGCCUUGAGCCAGUAGUAACAACUGGCUCUGGUUUCUUCCUGCUUUGUAGCAGGGAGGAAGAAGAGCUUUCUCUGGAAAUGAAAUCAAGCAGCUUUCCUUGUAUUGAAAGGAAAGCGACUGAAGACAGAGUGUUCCAAGAACCAAGAGAAUGAAUGUGGCUGAUGUGUGGAGAGAAGAGAUGGACCAAGAUGAGACUGGAAAGUCUACUGCUGGGGCUGUUAACCAAACCCAACUCAUAAAGCAGAGGAUAAGGAGGUCUUUUGACACAGUCUGGAAAAGGUAGGCUCUCUGGCAUCUGUGUAUAGCUCCACUGCUUCCUCUCUGC
This 348-nucleotide long non-coding RNA is filed under the name Homo sapiens (human). Its description in RNAcentral is "HSALNT0386494". Lineage: Eukaryota; Metazoa; Chordata; Mammalia; Primates; Hominidae. The record is from RNAcentral.